This 117-nucleotide ribosomal RNA is filed under the name Pteropus alecto (black flying fox). Lineage: Eukaryota; Metazoa; Chordata; Mammalia; Chiroptera; Pteropodidae. The record is from RNAcentral.
GUCUACGGUCAUGCUACCCAACAAGCCUGAUCCCGUCUGAUCUCGGAAGCUAAGCAGGGCUGGGCCUGGUUAGUAUGUGGAUGGGAGACCACCUAGGAAGACCAGGUGCUGUAGGAG